Molecule: microRNA, 19 nt
Filed under: Lotus japonicus
Lineage: Eukaryota; Viridiplantae; Streptophyta; Magnoliopsida; Fabales; Fabaceae
Description: lja-miR11066-3p
Source: miRBase by way of RNAcentral
AACAUAGGGGAUCUUGAAU